This 376-nucleotide ribosomal RNA is filed under the name uncultured organism. Its description in RNAcentral is "partial 16S ribosomal RNA". It matches the Rfam family "Bacterial small subunit ribosomal RNA", at positions 527 to 897 of the family's 1533-position model. The record is from RNAcentral.
GUAGGUGGCAAGCGUUGUCCGGGAAUUAUUGGGGCGUAAAGCGCGCGCAGGCGGUUCUUUAAGUCUGAUGUGAAAGCCCACGGGCUCAACCGUGGAGGGUCAUUGGAAACUGGAGAACUUGAGUACAGAAGAGGAAAGCGGAAUUCCACGUGUAGCGGUGAAAUGUGUAGAGAUGUGGAGGAACACCAGUGGCGAAGGCGGCUUUCUGGUCUGUAACUGACGCUGAGGCGCGAAAGCGUGGGGAGCAAACAGGAUUAGAUACCCUGGUAGUCCACGCCGUAAACGAUGAGUGCUAAGUGUUAGGGGGUUUCCGCCCCUUAGUGCUGCAGCUAACGCAUUAAGCACUCCGCCUGGGGAGUACGGCCGCAAAGGCUGA